AUGGAAGAAAAGCUCUCUUCUAUGCGACAAGAUGUCAUUCAGGAAUUUGUGGCGCUUUAUCAAAGAGUAGGGCCUUAUCUACCGAUCGAGCCCUACUUGGUCGAUGAAGCACUUCGUUCCUAUCUGGACCAUAUUCACGCAACUGAUUCUUUCACUGUUCUCCAAGCGUCUUAUCAAGAUCUGCGGGAGAAUGAGGGAGGAUCCGUUUUCUUUCAAAAUGUUGUUUCCCACAACCGGGAUCUCCUUGAGGCGGAAAGCUCCGCAAGGAGGUGCCUGGAAGUGGAACAGAGGAUCCGGUGGGAAGAAAUCCCCAAGAGCAAGGCAAGUCUCGAAAGAGCUGAGCACGAGCAUGCUCUCGACUUGUUUAAGUCGGAGGAUCUUAGAAGGGAAUUAGAAAAAAAGAGCGGGGUAGCUCAGUAA
RNAcentral lists this ribosomal RNA (420 nucleotides) under Triticum aestivum (bread wheat). Its description in RNAcentral is "partial small subunit ribosomal RNA". The record is from RNAcentral. Lineage: Eukaryota; Viridiplantae; Streptophyta; Magnoliopsida; Poales; Poaceae.